UAUGUGAUCGUCUCUCGCAUAUCAAUAAGCGGAGGAAAAGAAACUAACAAGGAUUCCCCUAGUAACGGCGAGUGAAGCGGGAAGAGCUCAAAUUUGAAUCUUAAAGGGUUUCCCUUUACGAAUUGUAGUUUAAAGAAGUGUUUUCUGUUGAGGUUUUGGUAAAAGUUCUUUGGAAUAGGACAUCAUAGAGGGUGAGAAUCCCGUAUUUGACCUUUACUUUCAACUUUGUGAUACACUUUCAAAGAGUCGGAUUGUUUGGGAAUGCAGUCCAAAAUGGGUGGUAAAUUUCAUCUAGAGCUAAAUAUUGGCGAGAGACCGAUAGCGAACAAGUACCGUGAGGGAAAGAUGAAAAGAACUUUGAAAAGAGAGUUAAACAGUACGUGAAAUUGUCAAAAGGGAAGCGUUUGACACCAGUGUUGUUUUUCUGAAAAUCAAUUAAAGAACUGUUUAUGCUAAGUUGCUUAGACUUUAUCAGCUACUCGUUUAGUUUUGAGCUUUUCUUUAAUGCACUUUUCAGUUAACAAGUCAACAUCAAUUUCUUUUGCUGUAAAAAAGCUUGAGGAAGGUGGCUUGAGAUUCGUCUUAAGUGUUUAUAGCCUCUUGCCUAUGCAGUCGGAGAGAUUGAGGUCUGCAGCGUAGAUCCUUCGGGGCUAAAUGCAUUUGUGCUAAGUUAUAGCAUUUUAUAGACAACUUGUUGACUAUGAUUUGUCUUGUAGCUUACUCGCUUAUGUUAUUUUACCUACGCUUAGGAUGUUGAUAUCGCGCUCUCACUG
This 773-nucleotide ribosomal RNA is filed under the name uncultured Neocallimastigales. RNAcentral describes it as "partial large subunit ribosomal RNA". It matches the Rfam family "Eukaryotic large subunit ribosomal RNA", at positions 24 to 645 of the family's 3401-position model. The record is from RNAcentral. Lineage: Eukaryota; Fungi; Neocallimastigomycota; Neocallimastigomycetes; Neocallimastigales.